Molecule: long non-coding RNA, 910 nt
Filed under: Sorghum bicolor (sorghum)
Lineage: Eukaryota; Viridiplantae; Streptophyta; Magnoliopsida; Poales; Poaceae
Description: long non-coding RNA (SBIC_LNC003105)
Source: RNAcentral
GAGUUUCUGCAUAUUUUCAAAUAAAACUCAGAGAUUCCUUGUAUGACUCUAUCAUAUCUCUCUUUUGAGGUAUUUAUGGAUCCUUACCAAGGCAGUGAUGGUACAUGCCUUCUCUCAAAGUAUAUAGUAUUUGUAGUAUAAGGCAUAGUGACAUUGCCUUCUCUCUCACCCUACUCUAAUAAGGCUUUUGAUAUCUGGAGCUCAUAGGUGGGAAAUAAAGUAUACAUACUUACAAGACAUUUAUUACAUAGUCAAACCAUGGAUCCAGAGAAACAAGUCAAUAAAUCAAAUCAAGAUGUGCAUGUGUGGCGAAUGAAUGGUGUAUGGUGAUGAUGGUGAUAACAAUGGUGAAGUCUAAUUCUACUUGUUGCUCUUUUGAGGGGAUACAUACCUUUCUUGCUCUUUUGAAACUUUCUGAGGAGAAUGAGAUGCUCUUCUUUUUUCUUUUUCUUUCCUCUCAGGUGGGUAUAUUGUACCCCUGAUUCUACUGUCGGACACUUGUCCAUUUUACCUCUCGUCUCACUUUUUCUUUCUUUCGAGGUUCCGAGCACUUGCCCCUUUUUAUUUCCUCGUAUCUUUUCUUCUCUUUUUUUAGAGCACUCAUCUUCUGAAAUAAUAUAGCAAGUGGUAGUAACCAAGAUAACUUGAGCAUUUAUUUCUCAGGGAAAAACAGAAAUAUUUUUGGCUAUUCUCUCUCGGAUUAGGAGUAGAAUAUUUUUGGGUGGUUCUGGAGACGGAAAUGAAUGGAUGUAUGUGGAUGUGUACUUUCGGAAUAGAAGCAGCAUGUGUGAGUGAACGUGCAAGUGAAUCUUGAUUUAACCACAUGACAAGCUCCUAAGGGUCUACACAGCUUGACCACACUCAAUGCUCAUAAGCAGUAAAAAGUAAAUGUGUGGCUCAAAGUCUAGCA